This is an RNA transcript of Dioscorea cayenensis subsp. rotundata (Guinea yam), 1736 nucleotides long. It is a transcript of the gene named 5-formyltetrahydrofolate cyclo-ligase-like protein COG0212, with no coding region annotated. NCBI's taxonomy places the organism in Eukaryota, Viridiplantae, Streptophyta, Magnoliopsida, Dioscoreales, Dioscoreaceae. The transcript has 8 exons. The record is from RefSeq and is a predicted model, not a curated record.
UCUAAAAUUACGAAAUGCCCUUCUCCCUCCAUCGCGCCACGUGGCCUCCCGCCACUCCACUCCUCAUCCGAUCCCCCUCCACUCGCCGACCUCUUCCCGUCUCGCCGCCCCUCCUUCCCCUCCGCCGCCGCUUCUCCUCCCGGAGCUCCGGCAAGACGGAGGGCCCCUCCUCCGGGUCCCCUUCGUUCGACUCCGUCGCAUUCGAGUCCGAUCGCCUCCGCCUCGAUGCAGAGGCACGGGCAUCCAUGGCCGCCGCCGCCGCUGCCGCAGCUGAUCCGAAGGCGUGGAAAUGGAGGAUCAGGAAACGAGUUUGGGAUCUAAUGGAGGCGGAGGGCAUUGCGCGUAACCCUCGCCCCGUCCAUCACCGCAUCCCUAACUUCGAUGGUGCCAUCGCCGCCGCGGAUUUGCUAGGAGGAUUGGAUGCAUUCCAAAAGGCACAAUGCGUGAAGGUUAAUCCUGAUUCGCCUCAGAAGCACAUCCGGUUCUUAACACUUGCAGGUGGGAAGAAGUUAUUGACCCCUCAGCCACGGUUAAGAACUGGAUUCUUUUCAGUCUUAGAUUCUCGGAUGUUGCCUCCUGGCAGAAUAAAUGAGGGAUGCACUUCUGUUGGGGUUGCAAAAUAUGGUAAACCGAUAGAUCUUGAUGUGAAAAUUAAGGUGGAUCUGAUUGUUAUUGGCUCAGUUGCUGUUGAUCCACGAACAGGUGCACGGCUAGGGAAGGGUGAGGGCUUUGCAGAACUUGAGUAUGGGAUGCUACGAUACAUGGGAGCUAUAGAUGACUCAACUUUGGUGGUAACAACUGUGCAUGAUAAGCAAUUGGUGGAUGAUAUCCCACUUGAGAAGCUUUUAAUUCAUGAUGUCCCGGUUGACAUUAUCUGCACUCCAACACAAGUCAUCUUGACAAACACCUCAAUUCCCAAACCUCAAGGAAUCUACUGGGAGAAAUUGUCGCCAGAGAAACUUGGACAGAUUCGAAUACUCAGAGAACUGAAGAAACGAAUUGAGCAACAGACUGGACAGGCGCUUCCUUGUGGACCUUCAGAGAAGCUGCCCCCAACUGCUCAAAGAAGACGAUGAUCAUAAGUUGAUAAUUUAUCUGCAGGUAUGGCAGUGAGAAAUAACUAGUUUGUUUGAUGAUCACUUUUGGCUUCUAUGUUAUGUAUGAAAUGCAGAAGGUUAGAUCAAAAGAAUGGUUUACAAAGCAAUACUGAAUCUCAUGUUUCUCUCAAUCAUGUGAAGAUAGCAUACAGGUAUGAAACAUACAAUGCCAAUCAAUAGUAACAUUACUGCUUAUUUCUUCACAAUUUAUAUGGCAUGUGGGGUAUCCAUAAGGGAUUUCCUCACUUUUAAACCAAGUAAUAAUAAUAAAUAAAAUCUUGGUACUACUGUGACCACAGUAUGUUAAUGAUGUUAUCUUGGAUUGAAAUUGUGGUAUUAGCCUAUUAGGUAUGUUUAUGAUGUUACCUGCAGUCUCUUAAGGCUCACAUCUAAAAUAUUUAUGACUCAAAAACCCAAUUUUUAAUUGGGCUCAACUUACAAUGGUUGGAUAGCCUUCACUAGCAUUGUAUUCUUAAAAGUUUUAAAAUUUUCCAGUGCCUGCCCUGAUAAUUUAUGCAAACACAACAAAUGGAAAUGCUUGCUUUCGUUGAUGUAUAUUACUGAUUUAAUUAGUGAAAAUGUUUUUAAUGUGGUGAUCGGUUGGAGAUAAUUGACAAUAAUUCGAAUAUGAAUUUGCUA